CUCAGGAAAACCAUAGAUGGUUAAAAUAUUGACCUUAGUUUUUUAUGUACAUUUGGGCAUUUUACCAUAUAGAAAUCAAAUACAAAUACAGACAAUGCUCCUAGAGAUGCCAGAGCAGUGACUGCUGUGAAGAGGGAAAAACAGUUGUCCUGAUGACCUGAUGGUGCUGUCACUCAACACAUCUCAGAAACUGACAGCAAGAUAUCAAAGAGAGAAAGGUGUUCCAGGAAUCCCUCUACCAGACAUACUGUGUUAGACAAGACUUCACUGUAAGACCAACAGUUCCUGCUUCAAAAAAUCCAACUGAGGAUCCAGAUAAUGACCCUCAACAUGAGAAAGCUAAGAAUCAAAAUCAAGAAUGACCAAAUGAAGGAACAGAGAAAUCACACCACAUUAAUCAUUGCUUUGAUCGUCUCGCUCUGUGUGGUGAGCAUCAUAUGUCAUAAACUAUAUCCUUCACUCCAUGCAAGAGAUGUUGGGGAGAGCAGAUUAUCAAAAGAAGAGUACUGAAGUAUUGAAACACCUGUCAACAACUUCUUUAUGACUUUCAAAAGAAAUAAAUGCUUGACAUUGUAAAUAGGCA
Molecule: long non-coding RNA, 583 nt
Filed under: Mus spicilegus (steppe mouse)
Lineage: Eukaryota; Metazoa; Chordata; Mammalia; Rodentia; Muridae
Description: lncRNA (ENSMSIG00000024160.1)
Source: RNAcentral